AAGGAUAGGGAGAUGGGGAAGAGGAAAAUGAUAAGAUGGGGAGAUAGGGAAGAAGAGAUGAGGAGGGAGUCAGAGUGUGUGAAUCCCGCACGUAAAAGGUAUUCGGAUCUACCGUGUAACUUUGUUUUUUUCCUUAGCGCGGAUGACCCUACCAUCCAUCCUUUGGAAUAGAUUUCUUGGCACGGGUCAUGGAGCGAGCCACACCUGAAUAUAGCCAUUAUUGUUAGGCCCGGCUCAUCACAUGACCCACACUCUAGAAAAUCCAUCUGUAC
RNAcentral lists this long non-coding RNA (272 nucleotides) under Setaria viridis. RNAcentral's name for it is "long non-coding RNA (SVIR_LNC004212)". Lineage: Eukaryota; Viridiplantae; Streptophyta; Magnoliopsida; Poales; Poaceae. The record is from RNAcentral.